Molecule: ribosomal RNA, 656 nt
Filed under: uncultured Enterobacterales bacterium
Lineage: Bacteria; Pseudomonadati; Pseudomonadota; Gammaproteobacteria; Enterobacterales
Description: bacterial SSU rRNA
Rfam family: Bacterial small subunit ribosomal RNA
Source: RNAcentral
GAAACAGCUUGCUGUUUCGCUGACGAGUGGCGGACGGGUGAGUAAUGUCUGGGAAACUGCCUGAUGGAGGGGGAUAACUACUGGAAACGGUAGCUAAUACCGCAUAACGUCGCAAGACCAAAGAGGGGGACCUUCGGGCCUCUUGCCAUCGGAUGUGCCCAGAUGGGAUUAGCUAGUAGGUGGGGUAACGGCUCACCUAGGCGACGAUCCCUAGCUGGUCUGAGAGGAUGACCAGCCACACUGGAACUGAGACACGGUCCAGACUCCUACGGGAGGCAGCAGUGGGGAAUACUGCACAAUGGGCGCAAGCCUGAUGCAGCCAUGCCGCGUGUAUGAAGAAGGCCUUCGGGUUGUAAAGUACUUUCAGCGGGGAGGAAGGGAGUAAAGUUAAUACCUUUGCUCAUUGACGUUACCCGCAGAAGAAGCACCGGCUAACUCCGUGCCAGCAGCCGCGGUAAUACGGAGGGUGCAAGCGUUAAUCGGAAUUACUGGGCGUAAAGCGCACGCAGGCGGUUUGUUAAGUCAGAUGUGAAAUCCCCGGGCUCAACCUGGGAACUGCAUCUGAUACUGGCAAGCUUGAGUCUCGUAGAGGGGGGUAGAAUUCCAGGUGUAGCGGUGAAAUGCGUAGAGAUCUGGAGGAAUACCGGUGGCGAAGG